This 330-nucleotide unclassified non-coding RNA is filed under the name uncultured Tremellaceae. Its description in RNAcentral is "sequence contains ITS1". The stretch from base 1 to 105 matches the Rfam family "5.8S ribosomal RNA", at positions 50 to 154 of the family's 154-position model. Lineage: Eukaryota; Fungi; Basidiomycota; Tremellomycetes; Tremellales; Tremellaceae. The record is from RNAcentral.
GAAAUGCGAUAAGUAAUGUGAAUUGCAGAAUUCAGUGAAUCAUCGAAUCUUUGAACGCACCUUGCGCCCUUUGGUAUUCCUGAAGGCAUGCAUGUUUGAGUGUCAUGAAAUCUCAAUCCCCCCGGGUUUUCGGAACCCGAGGUGGACUUGGACAUGGGUGUCUGCCGUCUCGUACGGCUCGCCUUAAAUGACUCAGUGGGAUCUUCAGCAUCCGUGGCAGACGUAAUAAGUUUCGUAUCGUCCCUAGCUGUGAGGACCGGUCAUCACCUGCCAUCGCGCACCACUUUUGACUCUGACCUCAAAUCAGGUAGGACCACCCGCUGAACUUAA